CUACGGGUGGCUCCAGUUAGGGAUAUUCGGCAAUGGGGGAAACCCUGACCGAGCAAUGCCGCGUGAAUGAAGAAGUAUUUCGAUAUGUAAAGUUCUGUUGUUAAGGAAGAAAGGUACGAAUAGGAAAUGAUUCGUAAUUGACGGUACUUAACCAGAAAGCCCCUGCUAACUACGUGCCAGCAGCAGCGGUAAUACGUAGUGGGCGAGCGUUAUCCGGAAUUAUUGGGCGUAAAGGGUGCGUAGGCGGCCUGUCAAGUCCGAGUUGAAAGCCCACGGCUUAACCGUGGAGGGUGCUCGGAAACUGAUAGGCUUGAAUCCAGAAGAGGCAAGUGGAAUUCUAUGUGGAGCGGUGGAAUGCGUAGAUAUAUGGAGGAACACCAGUGGCGAAGGCGACUUGCUGGGCUGGUAUUGACGCUGAUGCACGAAAGCGUGGGGAGCAAACAGGAUUAGAUACCCCCGUAGUC
RNAcentral lists this ribosomal RNA (464 nucleotides) under uncultured bacterium. RNAcentral describes it as "partial 16S ribosomal RNA". It matches the Rfam family "Bacterial small subunit ribosomal RNA", at positions 339 to 795 of the family's 1533-position model. The record is from RNAcentral.